GCCCACUGCGCCUGAGGAGCGGGAGACACGAGGGAACUGACUAAUAAAAGUCACGGCGAUCGAGUGCGCCGCCCAACUCGCAGACUUUUCAUUCGAUCAGAGAAAGCUCCAGCACUCUCGACGUGGUCACGGCUCCGCGGCAUUGAGAAGUUCCGAAAUGCCACUUCAAUGCACGCCCGAGACGCAAAUCCCUCUUUAGUGAUUAUGAAGGAUUAGGCGGGGAUCGUCUUUGGUACAGGCCAGCCAUUGAUGACAACAACCUCCACGUGAUAUGGAAUAAGGAAGUAGGGGGCGCGGGUGUGUAAUGCGGCUCUGCACCCAAAUCUAAAUAUAGCCCCCACUGUAGAGGCACGGCCUGGUGUUGGCAGUCGACGACGGCUGCCUGUGGGCAUUGCACUAGAACAUAUCAUUAACAUUAGCAGAUCGUCCGUGGCAUUGCACCAGGAACGUAUUAUUAAUAUCAGCACAGCUCCGGUGGCAUUGCGCAAGAACGUACAAUGCGUAUAAGCGGACCGCCAGCGGCGUUGCAUCAGUACCAUAAUUUUAGCGUUUAGAUGAGGGAUGGUAAUUCAGUGCACUUUAAAAAGGUGAACAUAUUAUUCACAGCUGCAGACCACCCGUGGCAUUGCACAACAGACGUAUCAUUAAUAGCGGCAGACUGCGCGUUGAAUUGCAUAAGGAACGUAUUGUGGACGUUGGUUUGUCCACCCGUGGCAUUGCACAAAGAACGAACUGUUCUUGUGAGCUGACCUCCCGUGGCACUGCUCUGUGUGCAACAUUCUAAUCAGCUGUCACUUUUUGACGUUUCAAACCAAACAUCCAACCAACUGAGCUGAAGUGACCCCAACUUCCCUUCUAAUCAAACACUAUCAUGCAAGUACAAGAACAUAAUUUCAUUCAAUAUACUUAACCAGCAAAUCAUGUCCAUAUAGUCUAUGCACCAUGAUACAUUUCAAAUAUGAACAUAUUUUUGUUUUAAUGCCCCUGUAUGCUCACCUGAAAUUUCUGCCUGAUACAUGCAUCAUAUGGAGUAGCAUCAUUAGGCUCACCAUUAUUUUUAACAGUAAUUUCUGAUCUAAUAUUAUGAGAUGAGGGAUGGUAAUUCAGUGCACUUUAAAAAGGUGGAGGGAAAAGCCUGGAGAAAAUUGGCCAAUCAGUGUGUGGGCAUGCAAAAGAGUGUUAGACUUUCCAGUCAAAAGUCCUGCAAAACUGCUGGAAACUGAGUUCAGGGAAUUUUAUUCGUUCCUGGGAUAAGGGUGUCACUGGCUAGGCAGUAUUUAUUGCCCAUCCCUAAUUACCCAGAGGGCAGUUAAGAGUCAACCAUAUUGCUGUGGGUCUGGAGUCACAUGUAGGCCAGACAAGAGCGGUCCUUGAUCUGCACUGGAAUUCUCGGCUGGCCUAAAUCCUUCGGCAGAACAUUACGGGAAGUUGGCAUGUACCAAAUGGCAGGAAGCCCUGUGGGAGAAAGAGAUUUUGACAGAGAUGCAGUGGCAAUGCUUCUGGAUGCCAUGCAGAGAAGUCCAAUAUCACACAGGUGCAACUGCAUAUCUGGACAGACUGAAUGCCCUUUUCCAUAUCAAAAGGUUUGUCUCAAUACCUGCGGUGGAAGGAUGGUUAUAAAGAGAAGAGUGGGAAGCUGCAAGCAG
Long non-coding RNA from Rhincodon typus (whale shark), 1646 nucleotides. RefSeq lists it as uncharacterized. The transcript is spliced from 3 exons. NCBI's taxonomy places the organism in Eukaryota, Metazoa, Chordata, Chondrichthyes, Orectolobiformes, Rhincodontidae. The record is from RefSeq and is a predicted model, not a curated record.